ACUAAGCCAUGCGAGUCGAAUGUAGCAAUACAUGGCGAACUGCUCAGUAACACGUGGACAACCUGCCCUUAGGUUGGGUAUAAACCCGGGAAACUGGGUAUAAUACCCGAUAGGUCUCGAUUGCUGGAAUGCAUCGAGAUUUAAAGCUCCGGCGCCUAAGGAUGGGUCUGCGGCCUAUCAGGUAGUAGUGGGUGUAGCGUACCUACUAGCCUACGACGGGUACGGGUUGUGAGAGCAAGAGCCCGGAGAUGGAUUCUGAGACACGAAUCCAGGCCCUACGGGGUGCAGCAGGCGCGAAAACUUUACAAUGCUGGCAACAGCGAUAAGGGAACCUCGAGUGCCAGGUUACAAAUCUGGCUGUCGAGAUGCCUAAAAAGCAUUUCAUAGCAAGGGCCGGGCAAGACCGGUGCCAGCCGCCGCGGUAACACCGGCGGCUCGAGUGGUAACCGUUAUUAUUGGGUCUAAAGGGUCUGUAGCCGGCCGGAUAAGUCUCUUGAGAAAUCUGGCAGCUUAACUGUCAGGCUUUCAGGAGAUACUGUCUGGCUCGAGGCCGGGAGAGGUGAGAGGUACUUCAGGGGUAGGGGUGAAAUCUUGUAAUCCUUGAAGGACCACCAGUGGCGAAGGCGUCUCACCAGAACGGACCUGGCGGCAAGGGACGAAAGCUAGGGGCACGAACCGGAUUAGAUACCCGGGUAGUCCUAGCCGUAAACGAUACUCGCUAGGUGUCGGCCACGGUGCGACCGUUGUCGGUGCCGUAGGGAAGCCGUGAAGCGAGCCACCUGGGAAGUACGGCCGCAAGGCUGAAACUUAAAGGAAUUGGCGGGGGAGCACCACAACGGGUGGAGCUUGCGGUUUAAUUGGAUUCAACGCCGGGAAGGGC
This 880-nucleotide ribosomal RNA is filed under the name uncultured archaeon. RNAcentral describes it as "bacterial SSU rRNA". It matches the Rfam family "Archaeal small subunit ribosomal RNA", at positions 43 to 928 of the family's 1478-position model. The record is from RNAcentral.